UUCGCAAUGCCCGAAAGGGUGACGAAGCGACGCCGCGUGAGCGAAGAAGGCCCUAGGGUUGUAAAGCUCUGUCGAGGGUUAUGAAAUAUAAGUGAGAUAAUACCCCAUUUAUUUGACAAAAGCCCAAAAGGAAGCCACGGCUAACUCUGUGCCAGCAGCCGCGGUAAUACAGAGGUGGCGAGCGUUGUUCGGUAUUAUUGGGCGUAAAGAGCACGUAGGUGGUUUUGUAAGUCAGGUGUGAAAGCCUUCUGUUCAAAGGAAGAACGGCAUCUGAAACUGCAGAUCUUGAGUGUAGGAGGGGAGAGUGGAACUUCUGGUGGAGCGGUGAAAUGCGUAGAUAUCAGAAGGAACGUCGGCGGCGAAAGCGACUCUCUGGCCUAUUACUGACACUGAGGUGCGAAAGUUAGGGGAGCAAACGGGAUUAGAUACCCCGGUAGUCCUAACCGUAAACGAUGGGCACUAAGUAGAGGGGUUUU
Molecule: ribosomal RNA, 476 nt
Filed under: uncultured anaerobic ammonium-oxidizing bacterium
Lineage: Bacteria
Description: bacterial SSU rRNA
Rfam family: Bacterial small subunit ribosomal RNA
Source: RNAcentral